This 505-nucleotide ribosomal RNA is filed under the name uncultured bacterium. RNAcentral's name for it is "partial 16S ribosomal RNA". It matches the Rfam family "Bacterial small subunit ribosomal RNA", at positions 28 to 507 of the family's 1533-position model. The record is from RNAcentral.
GACGAACGCUGGCGGCGUGCCUAAUACAUGCAAGUAGAACGCACAGUUUAUACCGUAGCUUGCUACACCAUAGACUGUGAGUUGCGAACGGGUGAGUAACGCGUAGGUAACCUGCCUGGUAGCGGGGGAUAACUAUUGGAAACGAUAGCUAAUACCGCAUAAUAUUAAUUAUUGCAUGAUAAUUAAUUGAAAGGUGCAAUUGCACCACUACCAGAUGGACCUGCGUUGUAUUAGCUAGUAGGUGAGGUAACGGCUCACCUAGGCGACGAUACAUAGCCGAGCUGGGAGGGUGGUCGGCCACCCUGGGAAUGAGACACGGCCCAGACUCCUACGGGAGGCAGCAGUAGGGAAACUUUGGCAAUGGACGGAAGGCUGACCGAGCAACGCCGGGGGAGUGAAGAAGGGUUUCGGGUCGGAAAGCUCUGUUGUAAGGGAAGAACGGGUGUGAGAGUGGAAAGUUCACAUUGUGACGGUACCUUAACAGAAAGGGACGGCUAACUACGUG